RNAcentral lists this transfer RNA (72 nucleotides) under Planctomycetales bacterium 71-10. Its description in RNAcentral is "tRNA-Thr". It matches the Rfam family "tRNA". From Rfam's summary of the family: Transfer RNA (tRNA) molecules are approximately 80 nucleotides in length. Lineage: Bacteria; Pseudomonadati; Planctomycetota; Planctomycetia; Planctomycetales. The record is from RNAcentral.
GCGUCGGGGGUCCGGUCGGACGGACGCCGCCCUCGUAAGGCGGAGGCGCGGGUUCGACUCCCGCCCGGCGCU